UCAAGGUGAGAAUCACAGUGUGGCUCUCCUCUGGCAUGAAGGCGCGGCUGAGAGGCACGAACAGUUUCUGGCCUUCCCCUGCCAAUGCCAAAGGAGAGCUGCCCUGCCAUUCGUUAGCCCUGCAA
RNAcentral lists this microRNA precursor (125 nucleotides) under Zea mays. Its description in RNAcentral is "miR399d stem-loop (zma-MIR399d)". Its record names the gene zma-MIR399d. The stretch from base 6 to 116 matches the Rfam family "mir-399 microRNA precursor family". From Rfam's summary of the family: mir-399 was identified in both Arabidopsis thaliana and Oryza sativa computationally and was later experimentally verified. mir-399 is thought to target mRNAs coding for a phosphatase transporter. The record is from miRBase by way of RNAcentral. Lineage: Eukaryota; Viridiplantae; Streptophyta; Magnoliopsida; Poales; Poaceae.